CCCUGUGCCGUCAGCCGAUCCCUCCCGCCGCGGUAAAUCAGCUCACUGAAGGAGGUCCUGGGGGAGGAAAGCGUUUAGGAGGGAAUGGGACAGUGUCAAGUGAGGUAAGGGCCGGAAGCAGUGGCGGGGCGGGGGUGUCACGCGGCCACACACACACACACACACACACAGACACACACACACACCUGGGACUCCUCACACCACCACGCCACACCGCCACCAUUUAAAACCUGCGGGAUAACAAUGCUCAGUUUCGCGAUAAAUCUCUGCGCCCGGUUCGUGUUUCCACUUGUGCCUUUUCGAGAGAAGUGUAGGCCGUCCGCCGCUCCAGGCUCGGGCCCGAAAAUCCGGCUGCGUGGCGUGUUAUUUGUGCUGAGGUAAUGAGAAUAAACAUACCUGGAUGAGUGUAGCAGCUGGAUGAGGCAGAGUGUCCCGUUGGAGGAGUGCCGGGGUGGAUAUUGCGCGAAGUGGCAUCCUUUCCUGCGCGGGACGAUCGAGGCAAGGGGACGCCAGGCGAGUCAUUGGCUCGGCGACCGCAGGGAGGGGCGGUGCUGUCAGUGUGGCGCUGGACUCUGUACGCACGUGAUGAACUUUAUCCUCGCCUGAGAUUACCCUGUGCUACGUGGAUGUUAGUAUUCGUGGUGCUGCGUCCAACUCACGCUUAGAAGGCCUUUGUGACGUGUAGCCUGGCCAAGGAUUUAGAAAUAAUCUCUCAGUGCUGGAAUUGGAUUUGUGAAAAAGGAGACCUCUCGUGUGGAGCAGGAAAGGAAAAAAAGAGGUGGUGUGCGGGAGACCAGUGGUGUGUGGUGAGCUGCCCCUCGUGGCUAACACAGAUCUCAAGCCUCGCAGUGGUUACCAAGGUCGCCUGUUUCACGGCACUUAUCAGAUAUUGAUUUAUAGCAGAGCAGUGAGAGAAACCCCUCCGAGAGAGAGCCCGCUUCCCGGUGAACCCCGACCAGUGAACCCAAACACAAACACGGCCGCUCUCAGGGUCACUGUGCACUGCCGGACCCGUGGUGGUGGUGGAGGUGGUGGGUAGCGGCAACGUGAGCCCCCGCCUCGGCAUGUCAGCCAUGUCACAGAUUAUGGACGCUACUUACUGCAUUGGAGGAGAUAUGGAUUUUGGCCGCAUGUUCGAUCAGUAUCUUCACAAGGUACGUUGGUGAGAUGGUGAUGCUGUGGUGAUGAUGCGGUGGUGCUGUGGCGGUGGUGAGUCUGUGGUGAUGUCCCUGUUUUUCCUCGUAGUUUUAGUGUUUGUGGUGACUGAUAACAGGUGAGUGAUACGCCUCUUAUUUCUGUUCUGUUAUCUUUCCUUUUGUUUCUUUCCUUCUCUCCUUCGGUUAUACUUGCAUUUCUUCCUCUUUUUUAUCCCCCUCUCUCCUCUUCCUCUUUCUUAUUCGGUGUCUACCACUUCGUCACACGCACAAUGCUAAGACCCAAACUGAAAAGAUGGAAAAGGAGAGUAGGUUUGAAGAAGAGAAAGGGGAACGAAGGAUAGAGUAAGAAAAGAAGGAUAGAGAGGAAGAGACAGAAAGUGAGAUGUAACGAAGAGGUUCAAAAGGAGAAGAGAGGAGGAGGGAAACAAAGGAGAAUGUAGGGGAAGGAUGGAGAGAGAGAGAGAGAUGAAGCGAAGAGUAAAGAAUAACUAAAGGAGAUAAGAAUUUGAAGGAGAGAAAGGGAAACAAAUGAUAACGCAAGAGAAGGAGGAUAGGGAGAACGAGAAAGAGAAUGAGAUGAAGCGAAGAGAGGAAGAAAGACAGAGAGAAAGAGAAGGAUACGAAGAAAUGAGUAAAGGAAGGAAGGGGGAAGAGGAGGCAAACUGAAAAUAACAUAAGAGAAGAACGCAGAGAAAGAGAAGAUUAAGCGAAAAGUUAAGAAAAGGAGAUGAAAAUUUAAGGAAGAUAAAGGUAAACGAA
Long non-coding RNA from Scylla paramamosain (green mud crab), 1916 nucleotides. RefSeq lists it as uncharacterized. NCBI's taxonomy places the organism in Eukaryota, Metazoa, Arthropoda, Malacostraca, Decapoda, Portunidae. The record is from RefSeq and is a predicted model, not a curated record. The transcript has 2 exons.